AAACUAACUAGGAUUCCCUUAGUAACGGCGAGUGAACCGGGAUGAGCUCAAAUUUGAAAUCUGGCGUCUUUCAGGCGUCCGAGUUGUAAUCUAUAGAGGCGUUUUCCGCGCCGGACCGCGUCCAAGUCUCUUGGAAUAGAGUAUCAAAGAGGGUGACAAUCCCGUACUUGACGCGACAACCGGUGCUCUGUGAUACGUUCUCAAUGAGUCGAGUUGUUUGGGAAUGCAGCUCUAAAUGGGUGGUAAAUUCCAUCUAAGGCUAAAUAUUGGCGAGAGACCGAUAGCGAACAAGUACCGUGAGGGAAAGAUGAAAAGCACUUUGGAAAGAGAGUUAAACAGCACGUGAAAUUGUUAAAAGGGAAACGAUUGAAGUCAGUCGUGUGGGAAGUAUUCAGCCGUCUCUGGCGGUGUAUUUGCUUCUCACGGGUCAACAUCAGUUUGAUCCGGUAGAAAAAGGCGGGAAGAAGGUGGCACCCUCGGGUGUGUUAUAGCUUCCUGUCAUAUGUGCCGGACCAGACUGAGGAACGCAGCUUGCAGCAAUGCCGGGGUUCGCCCACGUACAAGCUUAGGAUGUUGACAUAAUGGCUUUAAACGACCCGU
Molecule: ribosomal RNA, 600 nt
Filed under: Vishniacozyma carnescens
Lineage: Eukaryota; Fungi; Basidiomycota; Tremellomycetes; Tremellales; Bulleribasidiaceae
Description: partial 26S ribosomal RNA
Rfam family: Eukaryotic large subunit ribosomal RNA
Source: RNAcentral